CGUAGGGGCAAGCGUUGUCCGGAUUCAUUGGGCGUAAAGAGCGUGUAGGCGGCCAGGUAGGUCCGUUGUGAAAACUCGAGGCUCAACCUCGAGACGUCGAUGGAAACCAUCUGGCUAGAGUCCGGAAGAGGAGAGUGGAAUUCCUGGUGUAGCGGUGAAAUGCGCAGAUAUCAGGAAGAACACCUAUGGCGAAGGCAGCUCUCUGGGACGGUACUGACGCUGAGACGCGAAAGCGUGGGGAGCGAACAGGAUU
This 253-nucleotide ribosomal RNA is filed under the name uncultured bacterium. RNAcentral describes it as "partial 16S ribosomal RNA". It matches the Rfam family "Bacterial small subunit ribosomal RNA", at positions 526 to 779 of the family's 1533-position model. The record is from RNAcentral.